GCAUCUAGACAUUGUGCCGGGUGGGAGAAGAGACAAUUAAAUCCACAAUCCAGAAAAAAAAAAUAACUGACUCACGGAUUAAACACUAUAGGUUUGUACUCCUUUCCAGUCUCGAUGUGGAGUGCGGAUUGUGCGUGCAAGUCUGAAAGUUAUCUAGGAUGUGAGCUCUUGUGGAGGAUGAGCUAAGGGAUUCUUCGAGGUUUGGAGAGCGCAGCUGCUGCCUUCAGCCACUGACGGAAGGACCUUGCGCACGAGGAGGAGAGCUGCCUCCGUUUCGCUCUCUCUUUCUCUCUUUUUCCUUUCUCAGUCUCACAGAGACAGGCAGCAUCCCUCAGCCCUGGUAUUGAAAACAGAAGACGUUCAAGGCGAGAAAAAAGAAUAACGGCGAAGAAAAGAACAGGAUUAUAAAAGCAGGGCGUAAUCAAGGGAAAUCUGAAGCAAGGGCAAAAAGAGUUGAAAAUAGAUUUGCAUCUCAGGCUCUUGUGUUUGUUGUUUUGCGGGGCUAAACUGAAGAGAUUUGGGUCGUGCAUUGCUUUGCUUCAGCCAGCCUGUGGAGUAUAGGAUCACAAAUAGCAUUUUAAGGUCAUGGACAUUGCCUCUUCUCCUGCCUCUAGGCUGACCAUGACAAACUGUUCUGUUUUUAUGUGAUCCUGCUGUGAAUUCUGCUGUUGCAGCGGUCUUCUUCGAGCAAAAAUUCAUCCCACACAUUGGCAUCUGUAUUCAGA
Molecule: long non-coding RNA, 725 nt
Organism: Sinocyclocheilus anshuiensis
Lineage: Eukaryota; Metazoa; Chordata; Actinopteri; Cypriniformes; Cyprinidae
Exons: 3
Source: RefSeq, a predicted model, not a curated record